Molecule: ribosomal RNA, 339 nt
Filed under: uncultured soil bacterium
Lineage: Bacteria
Description: bacterial SSU rRNA
Rfam family: Bacterial small subunit ribosomal RNA
Source: RNAcentral
AGAACGAACGCUGGCGGCAUGCCUAACACAUGCAAGUCGAACGAGACCUUCGGGUCUAGUGGCGCACGGGUGCGUAACGCGUGGGAACCUGCCCUUAGGUUCGGAAUAACUCCUCGAAAGGGGUGCUAAUACCGGAUGAUGUCUUCGGACCAAAGAUUUAUCGCCUAUGGAUGGGCCCGCGUUGGAUUAGCUAGUUGGUGAGGUAAAGGCUCACCAAGGCGACGAUCCAUAGCUGGUCUUAGAGGAUGAUCAGCCACACUGGGACUGAGACACGGCCCAGACUCCUACGGGAGCAGCAGUGGGGAAUAUUGGACAAUGGGCGAAAGCCUGAUCCAGCAA